CACGCCGUAAACGAUGAGUGCUAGGUGUAGAGGGUAUCGACCCCUUCUGUGCCGCAGUUAACACAAUAAGCACUCCGCCUGGGGAGUACGGCCGCAAGGUUGAAACUCAAAGGAAUUGACGGGGGCCCGCACAAGCGGUGGAGCAUGUGGUUUAAUUCGACGCAACGCGAAGAACCUUACCAGGGCUUGACAUCCUCUGAAUCUUGAGGAAACUUGAGAGUGCCCUUCGGGGAGCAGAGAGACAGGUGG
This 249-nucleotide ribosomal RNA is filed under the name uncultured Desulfosporosinus sp. RNAcentral's name for it is "partial 16S ribosomal RNA". It matches the Rfam family "Bacterial small subunit ribosomal RNA", at positions 796 to 1041 of the family's 1533-position model. The record is from RNAcentral. Lineage: Bacteria; Bacillati; Bacillota; Clostridia; Eubacteriales; Desulfitobacteriaceae.